This 670-nucleotide long non-coding RNA is filed under the name Phoenix dactylifera (date palm). RNAcentral describes it as "long non-coding RNA (PDAC_LNC007441)". Lineage: Eukaryota; Viridiplantae; Streptophyta; Magnoliopsida; Arecales; Arecaceae. The record is from RNAcentral.
AAAUUGGAGAUGAUAAUCAUUGUACUCUCCAAAAACAAAUUCAUUCAUCUUCCAAAAUGCCAAUAGUAGAUUAAAUUGAUAAAUUAAGUGAAGAGAGAAAAGUUUGAAAAGUUACAAGCCUCCACCUAAUACAAUCCGCAUAAGAACACUUUUUGAUCUCUCCACCACAUCCACGAGACCGUACUGAUUCUUUAAAAAAAAAAGGACAAAAAAAUCUAAAAAUUAUGAAAUAAAGAAAGGAAAACAAGAAGAACAAAAACUGAUUAUCUAAUGCUUCCCUGAGCUAAUGGUUGGUUGUUACUCCGCGAGAGAUGCCUGAAGAGGUGGCGACGAACCUCGACGAGAAUGUAUAGUAAAAGUUGGUCGAGUCAUCGUCGAUCGCGGUCCCGAAGCCAUGAUCGAAGUUGCGAGAGUAGCUCAAGGCAUCAUAUUGGCAGUGGAAUGCGGUGGGCCUUGUGGCCAUGCACAGCUGCUUGCUCCUCUUCCUCAGCUUCCUCAUGAGCCUGCCAAUGCCGCAGCUCCUGCAAUGGCUAUCGGUGGCCGUCGCAGCGGUGGUGGGGGUUGCGCCGCCGCCUCUAGGACUGGUGGUGGUGGUGGAACCUUGCUUCUGGCACCAGAAGACGCCAAUGUGUGCCAUCUCUCUCUCUCUGUGAGAGAUGGCUAGAAAUCC